CGCCGCCGUCUGGGAGGCUCGGCCCGGCCGCCCGAGCAGGCCGCGCGCGGGCCGCCGGGCCCGAAGCCGGAGCCAUGGGCGAGACCAAGAUCAUCUACCACUUGGAUGGGCAGGAGACGCCGUACCUUGUGAAGCUGCCCCUGCCCGCCGAGCGCGUCACCUUGGCGGACUUUAAGGGCGUUUUGCAGCGACCCAGCUAUAAGUUCUUCUUCAAGUCUAUGGACGACGAUUUCGGAGUGGUGAAGGAGGAGAUCUCGGAUGACAAUGCCAAGCUACCAUGCUUCAAUGGCCGGGUGGUGUCCUGGCUGGUGUCAGCUGAGGGCUCACACCCAGACCCAGCCCCCUUCUGUGCUGAUAACCCAUCGGAGCUGCCACCACCUAUGGAGCGCACGGGAGGCAUCGGGGACUCCCGACCCCCAUCCUUCCAUCUCUUCCCUGCAGCCCUCAUGCUGGUGGGGGCAGCCAGGAGAACCUGGACAAUGACACAGAGACGGACUCUUUGGUGUCUGCCCAGCGAGAGCGGCCACGCCGGAGGGAUGGCCCAGAGCAUGCAACCCGGCUAAAUGGAACUGCGAAGGGGGAACGGCGGCGAGAACCAGGGGGUUAUGAUAGCUCAUCCACCCUUAUGAGCAGUGAGCUGGAGACCACCAGCUUCUUUGACUCAGAUG
RNAcentral lists this small RNA (668 nucleotides) under Pan troglodytes (chimpanzee). RNAcentral's name for it is "processed transcript". Lineage: Eukaryota; Metazoa; Chordata; Mammalia; Primates; Hominidae. The record is from RNAcentral.